GGCAGGGUGAGGGUUUUCGCCUUCUUAUCUGUUUGCUGAUUGUCAACGGCACAGCAUUUUGUGGGUCAUUCGGUGAAAUAAGGUCCUUACAAUCCCCCUUCUGCAAUCAUAGAGUAUUCAUCGCUUUUCCCGGUAGAGAAUGGAAUCUUCUACAUUAUG
This is a long non-coding RNA of Culex quinquefasciatus (southern house mosquito), 159 nucleotides long. RefSeq lists it as uncharacterized. NCBI's taxonomy places the organism in Eukaryota, Metazoa, Arthropoda, Insecta, Diptera, Culicidae. The transcript has 3 exons. The record is from RefSeq and is a predicted model, not a curated record.